UCGCGAAAACUUUGCAAUACACGAAAGUGUGACAGGGUCAUCCCGAGUGCCGACCGCUGAGGUUGGCUUUUACCCAGUCUAGAAAGCUGGGGGAAUAAGGAGAGGGCAAGUCUGGUGUCAGCCGCCGCGGUAAUACCAGCUCUCCGAGUGGUGUGGACGUUUAUUGGGCCUAAAGCAUCCGUAGCUGGCUGAACAAGUCCCCUGUUAAACCCACCGAUUUAAUCGUUGGUCUGCGGGGGAUACUGCUCGGCUAGGGGACGAGAGAGGCAGACGGUAUUCCCGGGGUAGGGGUGAAAUCCUAUAAUCCCGAGAAGACCACCAGUGGCGAAGGCUGUCUGCUAGAACGCGCCCGACGGUGAGGGAUGAAAGCUGGGGGAGCGAACCGG
RNAcentral lists this ribosomal RNA (386 nucleotides) under uncultured crenarchaeote. RNAcentral's name for it is "bacterial SSU rRNA". It matches the Rfam family "Archaeal small subunit ribosomal RNA", at positions 339 to 727 of the family's 1478-position model. Lineage: Archaea; Thermoproteati; Thermoproteota. The record is from RNAcentral.